UACCGAGCCACCGAGUGGUCGGGACGUUUAUUGGGCCUAAAGCAUCCGUAGCCGGUUCUACAAGUCUUCCGUUAAAUCCAACUGCUUAACAGGUGGGCUGCGGAAGAUACUAUAGAGCUAGGAGGCGGGAGAGGCAAGCGGUACUCGAUGGGUAGGGGUAAAAUCCGUUGAUCCAUUGAAGACCACCAGUGGCGAAGGCGGCUUGCCAGAACGCGCUCGACGGUGAGGGAUGAAAGCUGGGGGAGCAAACCGG
Molecule: ribosomal RNA, 253 nt
Filed under: uncultured bacterium
Lineage: Bacteria
Description: partial 16S ribosomal RNA
Rfam family: Archaeal small subunit ribosomal RNA
Source: RNAcentral